AAAAAAUGUUGGAAUUUGAGGUAAAAUUAAUGUAACUUAAAUUUGUAAUGUUGGGUGAAUGGCAAGACAAAACACAGUGUUUCUCUUGUAGUUUUGCUAAAAAAUCCAUUGGUUUAAAACAUCAGACACUGAUAAGCUUCUGGCAGUCUGUUUUUGUUUAUGACUCAGUGUAAUUUAGUUUCCUAACUCACUGCUCUGAGUCAUGCUCUGCGAACACGUUAAGCUCCUCCCAGAAAAACCCCUCAAUUCUUUCAUUUAUGAUGAGAACAGGAAUAUGACACCCUCCGAGCUAAAGAAGAUUCUUUAAUGUUUUCCUGGAGAGGUUCCUUCACCCUGAAGUUGUGUGCAGGACCCGUGAGAAGCACAGGUGUGUCCUCCAGCCUGCCUGAAGAAAGGAAAUUUGAUCCAAUGCCACGCUUCCCAGUGAGAGAUUGAGUCCAUGCCCAGAGUGUUUGUGUGUAAAGACUCUUGCAUGUUGGAAUGUCAGGAAAACAAAAUAUGGACUGACUUUAAUUACUCCACACAUCUGGAGCACUAAAGGUUAUUGACUGGUGAGCUCAGUGCAGGUGUUGGAGGAACUCAUUAAAAAUGGAAGCUGUGAAAGUAGGCCAGCGGUUUACUGAUGUGGAUGGGUAAAGAGAAAGGAAAGCCAUUCCAAGUUGUCCACAGCCUAUCCCAUUUUCCCCUGGUCCACUUCCUGCAUGAAGAGGAUGGUGUCUGCAUUUCCCCAAUUACAACUAAUCUAGCAAAAGCUCCCAUUUUGUCACCUCUCCUGCCAGCAUCUUUGGUUUGAUGCCACAGCUCAAGCACACUCGGCCUGCCUGUAUCAGCCCAUUCCCAUUGCCGUCUAGUCUGACAUCUGGAUCUGACAGGUCUCUGAUAGGUUGUUAUGAUUCAUAUGAACCAUAUGUUGUCAUUGCUGGUCUGUCGUCUUUUUGUUCUCUUUUAACAUUUCCCAGAAAGAGUUGUUUUUUUUUUUUA
Carassius auratus (goldfish) is the source of this 981-nucleotide long non-coding RNA. RefSeq lists it as uncharacterized. Lineage: Eukaryota; Metazoa; Chordata; Actinopteri; Cypriniformes; Cyprinidae. The transcript is spliced from 4 exons. The record is from RefSeq and is a predicted model, not a curated record.